Molecule: long non-coding RNA, 1112 nt
Organism: Scatophagus argus
Lineage: Eukaryota; Metazoa; Chordata; Actinopteri; Scatophagidae
Exons: 4
Source: RefSeq, a predicted model, not a curated record
UAUGAAACUGUUGCAGCCAUUGUAAUAUUUGUCUCUAGCCUUUGGCCAUUAUGUCCAAAUUACUAAUGACUGUCUAUCAAAAAUCAUGUAUGCAGAUAUCUUAUGAAACCACCAAUAGUCAUCCCUACAAUAGCAUCACAACAUUGAUAUUGAGGUAUUCAGGCAAAAAUAUUUUGACAUUUGAUUUUGCUCAUAUCAUCCAGCCCUACUUUGUAUAGUAGUAGACUUUAUUUCUAUCCAACCUCUAAUCUCAGACUGCUGCAUUUUUCAGGUGCUUCAUUAGGAUCAACCCAGAGAGAGGUACCAAGGCCAGCCGGGGAAAGAUGGUCUCCAAGAGGACAGGGAAAGUUGUUCAGAAGAAGUCUGAAACAGUCAGUCCCCAUGUGUCCAGUCUGCUGAAGAACCUCAUAGACUUCGAGUGGAAUUUCAUAUAGGUCUAGCGGAUGGUCCAAAGUGUUGUUAUUGUCCUCCAUGUCAUUGUUGGCUAGUGGGUUGCGGCUGAUGACCAGCUCGAGUCUGUCCCCGGCCUCUGUGAUCAGAGGCACCGCCAAGCAGCAGUCAAAGUCCCUUGUCCUCACGUGGUUCACCUGGACAGAGAGACACAGUCAGUGACCGUUCAAGUAAAAGGUACCGCUGUUUGGUUCGUUAGCUACCCGCUUUGUAUAACGAUUUGAGGACCACUAGUGUUUCAACUGCAGUAUACAGGAUAAUGGACAUGUAGUAGCUAGCUAGUUCAUCUUUCCUGAUGACACUAUGCUUUCUUGUUUUAAGGGCUUUUUUCCAUCAAUCUGGUCUUAAACAGCUGGGUACACCUUAGGAUCCUGUCGUAGGGUUUGAGCCCUGCUCGGUCGGCUGGCCCAUCAGGUCUGAUCAUGUUGACGUAAACGCCUUUCUCCAAGAAGCCAUCUGACACACUGAAGCCAAAGUCAUCGAUCUCUGGGUCCUUUAUCACUGUUACCUGCAGAGGACAGCACAUGGAUGUGGGCCUCCUCGUGCAGAUGGGCGCCCUGGUGGAGGUGUGUCGCCUGGUGGAGCAGGUUUCCCUGGUGCAGGAGAGAAUUUCUCCGCAACGGGCUCAUUCUGCUGUGACUCAGAAUGGGCUCAGCUGGAGG